GACGUAGGUGGCAAGCGUUGUCCGGAGUUAUUGGGCGUAAAGCGCGCGCAGGCGGCGCGGCAAGUCCAUGGUGAAAGCGCCCGGCUUAACUGGGCGAGGGCCGUGGAGACGGUCGUGCUGGAGGGAAGCAGAGGCGAGUGGAAUUCCGGGUGUAGUGGUGAAAUGCGUAGAGAUCCGGAGGAACACCAGUGGCGAAGGCGGCUCGCUGGGCUUUACCUGACGCUGAGGCGCGAAAGCGUGGGGAG
RNAcentral lists this ribosomal RNA (245 nucleotides) under uncultured bacterium. RNAcentral describes it as "partial 16S ribosomal RNA". It matches the Rfam family "Bacterial small subunit ribosomal RNA", at positions 524 to 768 of the family's 1533-position model. The record is from RNAcentral.